UUUUUUAGUUAGUUGUAAUUCUUGGCUGAAUAUCUCUAGCAGGUUUUAAAAGCCCUUUAAAAUUAAAUAUGAACACAGUUUGGAUUAAAUAAAAGUACAGUCAAAUUUUAUCUCCUGUAUAGACUUUACUGUACAGUGACUUAAUGUUUUCUAACUGUAUUCAUAUUUAA
This is a long non-coding RNA of Sinocyclocheilus rhinocerous, 170 nucleotides long. RefSeq lists it as uncharacterized. NCBI's taxonomy places the organism in Eukaryota, Metazoa, Chordata, Actinopteri, Cypriniformes, Cyprinidae. The transcript has 3 exons. The record is from RefSeq and is a predicted model, not a curated record.